RNAcentral lists this ribosomal RNA (322 nucleotides) under uncultured eukaryote. RNAcentral describes it as "partial 18S ribosomal RNA". It matches the Rfam family "Eukaryotic small subunit ribosomal RNA", at positions 1470 to 1796 of the family's 1831-position model. The record is from RNAcentral.
CCCUUAGAUGUUCUGGGCCGCACGCGUGCUACACUGAGUGGAUCAGCGGGUCAGGUUGCGCGAAAGUGUUUCCUAAUCUUGAAAUCCGCUCGUGAUGGGGAUUGACGGUUGCAAUUUUCCGUCAUGAACGAGGAAUACCUUGUAAGCGCGGGUCAUCAUCCCGCGCUGAAUACGUCCCUGCCCUUUGUACACACCGCCCGUCGCUCCUACCGAUUGAGUGGUCCGGUGAGGCUUUGGGAUCUGAGCGGAAAGAGCGUUUCGCUGUUUCUGCUCGGAAAACCCAGUCGAACCUUAUCAUUUAGAGGAAGGAGAAGUCGUAACA